AAUUUUAUUUUUAUUUAAUUUAUAUUUAUAAUUUAUUUUAAUUAAAAUAAUAGAAUAUUAAUUAUUAAAAAGAAUAAUUUAUUAUUAUUAUAGUUCAUAGUAUUGUGAAAGAUUAAAUUUAUUUAUUUAUAAGAAGAAUUAGUUUUUUGUACCUUGUGUAUCAGGGCUUAUUAAAAAUAUUUUUUAUUAAUAUUUCUCGAAUUUAAAAGAGUUAAUAAAUUAAAUAUUUUAUUGUAAAAUAAAUAUUUAGAAUAAUUUAUUAGUAAUGAAAUGUUAUUCGUUUUUAAAUAUAUCUAGUUUUUUUAGAAAUAAAUUAAAUUUAAUUAUUUUUAAUAAGAUUUUAAAUAAUUAAAUUUUUAUUAUUAAUAUUUAAUAUUUUUAGGGAUGAGCUUAAAAAUUGAUUAUUAUUAAUAUUUAAAUUAUUUAUUAAAUUUUAGGAUUAGAAAUUUUCAUAUAUUUAUGUAUGUUAUUAUUUAUUAUAAUUUAAUAAGAUUUAUAUUUAUUAUUAGUUAUUUAUUGAAAUUUUGGUUUAAAUAAUUUAUAUCAUGAAAAUAUGAUAAGAUUAGUAAAAUAUAUUAUUUUGUAUUUAUAUUAGUUCUUAAAAGAUUUAAUAAAAGAAUUCAGCAAAUAAUUUUUCACCUGUUUAUUAAAAACAUGGCUUUUUGUUUAUAAUUUAAGGUCUAGCCUGCCCACUGAGUAUUUAAAUGGCUGCGGUAUUUUGACCGUACUAAGGUAGCAUAAUCAUUUGUUUUUUAAUUGAAAACUAGAAUGAAGGGUUGGAUGAAAAAAUAACUUUUUUUAUUAAAAUUAUUGAAUUUUAUUUUUAAGUUAAAAAGCUUAAAUAUUUUUAAAAGACGAGAAGACCCUAUAGAGUUUAAUAAUUAAUAAUUUUUAAGAUUUUUUGAAAUUAAUUUAUAUUUAAGUUAUUAUUAUUUAAUUGGGGCGAUUGAAAAAUUUAAUUAACUUUUUUUUUAUAAAAUUAUUUUAGAUAAUUAAUUGAUCCUAAUAUUUAGAUUAUAAGAUAAAAUUACCUUAGGGAUAACAGCGUAAUUUUAUUGGAAAGUUCAAAUUGAUAAUAAAGAUUGCGACCUCGAUGUUGGAUUAAAAUUAAUUUUGGGUGUAGAAGCUUAAAAAUUAAGUCUGUUCGACUUUUAAAAUUUUACAUGAUCUGAGUUUAAACCGGUGUAAGCCAGGUUGGUUUCUAUCUUUAAGUAGAUAAUUUAUUUUAGUACGAAAGGACCAAAUAAAUAAAUAAUA
This 1257-nucleotide ribosomal RNA is filed under the name Acrocrypta assamensis. RNAcentral's name for it is "large subunit ribosomal RNA". The stretch from base 1038 to 1196 matches the Rfam family "Archaeal large subunit ribosomal RNA", at positions 2542 to 2701 of the family's 2987-position model. The record is from RNAcentral. Lineage: Eukaryota; Metazoa; Arthropoda; Insecta; Coleoptera; Chrysomelidae.